CACGUAGGGGGCAAGCGUUGUCCGGAUUUAUUGGGCGUAAAGAGCUCGUAGGUGGUUCGGUAAGUCAGGUGUGAAAUCUCCAGGCUCAACCUGGAGACGCCACUUGAUACUGCCGUGACUGGAGUCCGGUAGGGGAGCGUGGAAUUCCUGGUGUAGCGGUGAAAUGCGCAGAUAUCAGGAGGAACACCAGCGGCGAAGGCGGCGCUCUGGGCCGGUACUGACACUGAGGAGCGAAAGCGUGGGUAGCAAACAGG
Molecule: ribosomal RNA, 254 nt
Filed under: uncultured bacterium
Lineage: Bacteria
Description: partial 16S ribosomal RNA
Rfam family: Bacterial small subunit ribosomal RNA
Source: RNAcentral